This 440-nucleotide ribosomal RNA is filed under the name uncultured bacterium. RNAcentral describes it as "partial 16S ribosomal RNA". It matches the Rfam family "Bacterial small subunit ribosomal RNA", at positions 338 to 795 of the family's 1533-position model. The record is from RNAcentral.
CCUACGGGAGGCAGCAGUGGGGGAUAUUGCACAAUGGGGGAAACCCUGAUGCAGCGACGCCGCGUGUGGGAAGACGGUCCUCUGGAUUGUAAACCACUGUCCCCAGGGACGAAGAUGACGGUACCUGGGGAGGAACCUCCGGUUAACUCCGUACCAGCAGCAGCGGUAAUACGUAGGGAGCGAGCGUUGUCGGGAUUUACUGGGGGAAAAGGCAGCGUAGGCGGGACGGCAAGUUGAGGGUAAAAUCUACGGGCUAAACCGGUAGCUGCACUCGAAACUGCAGUUCUGGAGUGCAGUAGAGGCAGGCGGAAUUCCUAGUGUAGCGGUGAAAUGCGUAGAUAUUAGGAGGAACACCAGUGGCGAAGGCGGCCUGCUGGGCUUUUACUGACGCUGAGGCUCGAAAGUGUGGGGAGCAAACAGGAUUAGAUACCCCAGUAGUC